UACGUAGGGUGCAAGCGUUAAUCGGAAUUACUGGGCGUAAAGCGUGCGCAGGCGGCUUUGUAAGUCUGUCGUGAAAUCCCCGGGCUUAACCUGGGAAUGGCGAUGGAGACUGCAAGGCUAGAGUUUGGCAGAGGGGGGUAGAAUUCCACGUGUAGCAGUGAAAUGCGUAGAGAUGUGGAGGAACACCGAUGGCGAAGGCAGCCCCCUGGGUCAAAACUGACGCUCAUGCACGAAAGCGUGGGGAGCAAACAGG
This 253-nucleotide ribosomal RNA is filed under the name uncultured bacterium. RNAcentral describes it as "partial 16S ribosomal RNA". It matches the Rfam family "Bacterial small subunit ribosomal RNA", at positions 524 to 776 of the family's 1533-position model. The record is from RNAcentral.